Molecule: ribosomal RNA, 253 nt
Filed under: uncultured bacterium
Lineage: Bacteria
Description: partial 16S ribosomal RNA
Rfam family: Bacterial small subunit ribosomal RNA
Source: RNAcentral
GACGUAGGAUGCAAGCGUUGUCCGGAUUUAUUGGGCGUAAAGAGUUCGUAGGUGGUUUGGUAAGUCUGAUGUUAAAGAUCUGGGCUCAACCCGGGGAGUGCAUUGGAUACUGCCAGACUGGAGUGUAGUAGAGGCAAGCGGAAUUCCAGGUGUAGCGGUGAAAUGCGUAGAUAUCUGGAAGAACACCAGUGGCGUAAGCGGCUUGCUGGGCUAUAACUGACACUGAGGAACGAAAGCCAGGGGAGCGAAUGGG